GCGGAAGUGGUGAAACUGGCAAACACGUACGGUUCAGGGCCGUAUGCCUCACGGCUUGAGGGUUCAACUCCCUCCUUCCGCACCA
RNAcentral lists this transfer RNA (85 nucleotides) under Candidatus Omnitrophota bacterium. Its description in RNAcentral is "tRNA-Leu". It matches the Rfam family "tRNA". From Rfam's summary of the family: Transfer RNA (tRNA) molecules are approximately 80 nucleotides in length. Lineage: Bacteria; Pseudomonadati; Candidatus Omnitrophota. The record is from RNAcentral.